AUGGAGGAUUAUGUGCACGAGUACUACUCAUUUAGCAGAUUCAGGGCAGCAUAUGAAGGUGUAAUUGAGCCCCUUACGGACAAGAAUCAGUGGCCACAUGUUGAUCUAGGCUUUGUGUUGCAUCCACAAUUUCCAAAAGGCAAGAAAAAAGGUGCUGGAAGAACAAGAAAACAGAGGAUGAAGAGUUGGUGGGAAGGUGGAUCAAGGAAGGGAUCAUUGACCAAAUGCAAAGAAAUGCGCGGAGGUAGGACAUAG
This 255-nucleotide ribosomal RNA is filed under the name Triticum aestivum (bread wheat). RNAcentral's name for it is "partial small subunit ribosomal RNA". The record is from RNAcentral. Lineage: Eukaryota; Viridiplantae; Streptophyta; Magnoliopsida; Poales; Poaceae.